Molecule: ribosomal RNA, 253 nt
Filed under: uncultured bacterium
Lineage: Bacteria
Description: partial 16S ribosomal RNA
Rfam family: Bacterial small subunit ribosomal RNA
Source: RNAcentral
UACGUAGGGGGCAAGCGUUGUCCGGAAUCAUUGGGCGUAAAGCGCGUGUAGGCGGCUCGGUAAGUCCGCUCUGAAAGUCCGGGGCUCAACCCCGGGAGGCGGGUGGAUACUGCUGAGCUCGAGUCCGGAAGAGGCGAGUGGAAUUCCUGGUGUAGCGGUGAAAUGCGCAGAUAUCAGGAGGAACACCAAUGGCGAAGGCAGCUCGCUGGGACGGUACUGACGCUGAGACGCGAAAGCGUGGGGAGCAAACAGG